GGGAGCGGUUCUCGAGCUGGUGCCGGGCCCGGAUUUCAAAUCCGGUGGAACGGGCAAAUAACCCGUUUGGUGGGUUCGAUUCCCAUGCGCUCCCGCCA
This 98-nucleotide transfer RNA is filed under the name Planctomycetota bacterium. RNAcentral describes it as "tRNA-Sec". It matches the Rfam family "Selenocysteine transfer RNA". The record is from RNAcentral. Lineage: Bacteria; Pseudomonadati; Planctomycetota.